GAUGAAGAACGUAGCGAAAUGCGAUAAGUAAUGUGAAUUGCAGAAUUCAGUGAAUCAUCGAAUCUUUGAACGCACAUUGCGCCCCUUGGUAUUCCGAGUGGCAUGCCUGUUCGAGCGUCAUUAUAACCCCUCAAGCUCAGCUUGGUGUUGGGGCCUGCUGCACUGGCAGCCCUUAAAAUCAGUGGCGGCGCCAUCUGGCUCUAAGCGUAGUAAUUCUUCUCGCUAUGGAGUCCUGGUGGAUGCUUGCCAUCAACCCCCAAUUUUUCUAUGGUUGACCUCGGAUCAGGUAGGGAUACCCGCUGAACUUAAGCAUAUCAAUAAGCGGAGGA
This 329-nucleotide unclassified non-coding RNA is filed under the name soil metagenome. RNAcentral's name for it is "partial contains 5.8S ribosomal RNA, internal transcribed spacer 2, and large subunit ribosomal RNA". The stretch from base 1 to 120 matches the Rfam family "5.8S ribosomal RNA", at positions 35 to 154 of the family's 154-position model. The record is from RNAcentral.